GAACUUAGGAUUCAAUAGGUUGAUGAGAAAAUAGGACCUAAGACACUAGCUCAGGGCGCAGUUUGCCUGUCUUUGUGUCAGUUUCUUAGGUCCAAAUGACUCGUUGUGCGAACACAGACAAACCUCGUUUUCUCUGUAUCUGUCUGACACGUGAUUGGAAUAAUCACAGUGCAGGUCACCGUAUCAUAUUAAGACUGAAUUCAUCCUUUCAUUGAGCUGCAUUUUCUCCCCGUCCGAUCCUACAUAUGGAGGAGAAGAGAAGAGACCAAGUUCUUCACUCCGUCCUGGCUGAUGCUGACCUCUUCCAGGAGCACCGCACGGAUGCACCCACAAGGAAAAUUCUUCCUCGAAAUUUCGUAUUGCUUCCAGGACGCCUGAUAAGAUGUGCCGUGCCCAGUUUGUUGUGGUUGUUUUAUUAAAAUUAUUUUGUGGAAAUGAUUAAAUAUCCUGACAGUAGAGCACUGCGAUCUGCGUGCAAAUGCACACCUUGCCUCAAGGAUCUACACGGACUUUCUGCCUUCACACAAACACAUUUGGACACUUGUCUUUGGCAGCAGGGCUGGAUGACAGUAUCCUGUAAAGACAUUUGCGAUUAGAAGCUUUCGGUACUCUUAUAAGGAAAGCAAAGGACUGUGACAUGAAAUUACCAUCGCCCUACCAAAACCAUUUGAACUUAUUUGAGACGUACAAAAAGAGAAAAUACAAUUAAUGUCAAUGUGGCC
Long non-coding RNA from Equus caballus (horse), 722 nucleotides. NCBI's taxonomy places the organism in Eukaryota, Metazoa, Chordata, Mammalia, Perissodactyla, Equidae. The record is from Ensembl.